AUGAAUCCUGUCACAUGUAAUCGCUCAAUCAGUGCUUCAGCCGUACUUCAGAGACGUCACAAACAGCUCGUCAACAAGAUGUCAUGUUUCUCAUCAAAUCCAUAUUCAGGGACCAUCAACUUGGAUAGUUGGUGAAAUAAUGGCAGUGAGCAUUACUCAGGAUGGACCUUUUUCAUGGAGUGGAUUUACAAUUUCAUUUCUUCCGGGAGAUUAAUAAAGAUGAGCUGACAUAACAGAUGCAGACCUGCUAGAUCUGAUUGACAAGAUUGAGACUGCAGACACUACAGCCUUGCUUGAGCUUUCUGAAAGAAUCGUAGCAUGUGGUACACAGGAUCCUAACAUGUGAUGAAAGGAAGACAUUGUCAGGUGUAGUAUCUGUGAUUCUGUCCAUCUGACUCUCCUCCUUUCUCUUCAAUCCACACAUCAGGGUUAGAUGUUUUUGGUACAUUAUACUCAUUCGUAGACUCUCAUCUGCAGCUUUUUACAGGUUUUCCAUUGUCAUGAGAAAUAAUGAAAUAUCUGAUGUCCCUGUCACUGUUUUAAGUGCGGUGGGUUCAGUGAAGCGCAGC
Long non-coding RNA from Carassius auratus (goldfish), 569 nucleotides. RefSeq lists it as uncharacterized. The record is from RefSeq and is a predicted model, not a curated record. The transcript is spliced from 3 exons. Lineage: Eukaryota; Metazoa; Chordata; Actinopteri; Cypriniformes; Cyprinidae.